This 497-nucleotide ribosomal RNA is filed under the name uncultured bacterium. RNAcentral describes it as "partial 16S ribosomal RNA". It matches the Rfam family "Bacterial small subunit ribosomal RNA", at positions 28 to 507 of the family's 1533-position model. The record is from RNAcentral.
GACGAACGCUGGCGGCGUGCCUAAUACAUGCAAGUUGAGCGAUGAAGAUUGGUGCUUGCACCAAUUUGAAGAGCAGCGAACGGGUGAGUAACGCGUGGGGAAUCUGCCUUUGAGCGGGGGACAACAUUUGGAAACGAAUGCUAAUACCGCAUAACAACUUUAAACAUAAGUUUUAAGUUUGAAAGAUGCAAUUGCAUCACUCAAAGAUGAUCCCGCGUUGUAUUAGCUAGUUGGUGAGGUAAAGGCUCACCAAGGCGAUGAUACAUAGCCGACCUGAGAGGGUGAUCGGCCACAUUGGGACGGAGACACGGCCCAAACUCCUACGGGAGGCAGCAGUAGGGAAUCUUCGGCAAUGGACGAAAGUCUGACCGAGCAACGCCGCGUGAGUGAAGAAGGUUGUCGGAUCGUAAAACUCUGUUGGUAGAGAAGAACGUUGGUGAGAGUGGAAAGCUCAUCAAGUGACGGUAACUACCCAGAAAGGGACGGCUAACUACGUG